RNAcentral lists this long non-coding RNA (11625 nucleotides) under Cicer arietinum (chickpea). RNAcentral describes it as "long non-coding RNA (CARI_LNC002131)". The record is from RNAcentral. Lineage: Eukaryota; Viridiplantae; Streptophyta; Magnoliopsida; Fabales; Fabaceae.
UGGAUCUUGGUGGUGGUGGAGGUGGUGGUGAAGGAGUUAAACCAGGAAUUGCUAUUGGUGGAAAAGGAAAUAAAGGUGGUGGACUUGAUGGUGGAGGUUGAAAUGGAUUAGGAAUAAGUGGUGGAGGACUUGAUGGAGGAGGUUGAAAUGGAUUUGGAAAAAGUGGUGGUGGACUUGGUGGUUGAAAUGGAUUUGGAAUCAAUGGUGGACUUGGUGGUUGAAAUGGAUUAGGGAUCAAAGGUGGUGGUGAAAAUGGAUUUGGAAUCAAUGGUGGUGGUUGAAAUGGAUUUGGAAUCAAAGGUGGAGGAAAUAAAGGGUUUGGAGGAAAAAAAAAGAAAUCUUCUUGGUCAUGUACUAAUUUUUUCAUUGAAAAAAGUUUUGAUUUUUCUAAAUUUUUCACAAGAUUUUGUUUCUUAGGGUUUGGAAUACUAUAUUUUUUGUUACAAAAUUUUGGGUUUUUUAUAGGUUUAAAUGAGAAAAUCCCAGCUGAAAAAAUGUGUUCUUUUUGCAUUUUUUUCUUAAGGCUUAGUGAAAAUGAAGUAGAAGUUGAAGCUAUAGAACAAUGUGGUUCAUUGCUACUUAUUAACUUAAAAUUACACCCUUUAAUUCUCUUCACAUGUUUUUUCACUAUAAAAGGAAGUUUCACUUUGAAUUCUCCAUGUUCAUUAGUCUUCACUUCUUCAUAGAAUAUUUGUUUUGUUUUUUCCAUUUUGCAUUCAAUAGCUAUUGAUGCACCUAUAAAAAAAAAGGACAAAAAAUUUAAUUAAGUUUUAUAAUAUUUUUACAACAUUUUUUUAGAUAUGAAAUUGAACACUUUUGAGGGUGAAAUUGAACCUGAAAUGAAGUGGCUUUCUUGAGAGAAAGCUUGUUGAGAACAUGUGUCACAGUAGAUAGUUCCAACCACAAAAGAUGAAGGAAGAAGCUUCUUCUUGUUGUAUUUGUCAUGGUUAGAUUCUGAAAGAUUAGUACCAAAUGUGAGAGUGAGAAACAGAAUUGUAAAAAACCAAGACAUUGUGAGGUUUGAGUUUUUUAGAAACAAUGUCUAGUUAUAAAGGCAAAGGCAAAAUUGUGGUGUACUUCCAAAUAAAUAAUAAAAUAUAUGGACACCCAUAUUUUGUAUUCAUAUUUUGUACUCAGCCUGAAAUCUUGGUAAUCACAUUCAAAAAUAUAAUUAAUUCAAUUAAAUAAAUAAAUAAUUAACUUAAACAAAUUAAUUAUAAUUUUUAAUGUGAUUUAAAAUAAUUAUAUAUUCAUUAAAUUAAUUUCUUUUUUACAUGUGAUUAAUCAAGUAUCAUAUGUAUAAAAAAAAUGUCAUUUGGAUCUUAAAUUUGUUAGAGAGUUAAUAUAAUUUUUGAAUAUAUCAAAAUUUUAAAAAUAUUUUUAAAAUGAACUUUUUUAUUCUAAUCUUCAAAUAUGUUUUCUAUUAGUUAAAUUGAUCAUCAAUUGUGUGUUUUUGUUAAUUAAUUUGAUUUAUAAAUCAAAAAUCACUAUUUACUUUAAAUAUAUAUACAUUAUUAAAGUGUGAAGUAUUAUUACUCUAUGAUAAGAACAAGCUAAAUAAUGAGGUUUUGUAGGCUAGUUUCAUUUAGCUGUCUAUGAUAAAGACAAUCAAAUUCAAUAUGAAUUUGUAUAAAAACCCAAAGAAGACUACUUUGUGCAAUCAUGCAAAAACCCGUUAAACUAAAAAUAAAAGAUUUCAGGUUUGUUUCAUUACUGUGCAAAACACACAUAUUUGUAUGGUAGAAAAAUUAAAUAAAGGUAUAAAAUAUUUGUUUCUGCUUAAUUUGCAGUACAAUAUUACUUUUUUUUUAUAAAUGUAGUAAAUUCGUAUUAUUUAUUUAUUUAUUUAUUUAUUUAUUUAUUUUAAUCUUUUAAUUUUUAAGAGAAUAAACGAGUCUUCAUAAUUUGAAUUAUAAAAUAAAUAAAAUUUGAUUAAAAAUUAAUCUAAUUAAAAGUUAAAUUUGGAUUCUCUUAAAUAAACUCAUUAAUUAUUUAAAUUUUAAGUUUAAUCAAUUAAUUGAAGUUAGUGUUAAAACUAUUUAUAAAAAUAUAUAUGUUUUAAUACUAGUUAAUAUAUAUGAAAAAAAUUUAGAAUAAAAACAAAAGCAUACACAUUAGAUAUGUAUUUAGAACUUUCCAAAAUAAUUUAAAUAAAAAAACGGAUGCAAAAAGAAAUAUAUAAAAUUGGAGUUAUCUUCUUGGAAAAAUCUAAAAAUUUCAUGUGAGUGUAUUUGGAAGUUUGUUCUCUCUUGGUUUGAAAAUAGCAUAGGAAUAAUUGAAUCACUGUUGAGUCACGAGAUUGAGAGAGGAACCACAUAAUCUAUGAGUACGACAUUUGACAUUUUCUCAAACUAGACACGUAGAAACUCUGUUUGCAUGAUCUGUAAUAUAUAUAUAUAUAUNNNNNNNNNNNNNNNNNNNNNNNUGCAUGUGUGUGUGUGUGUGUGUGAAAUAUAUUAGCAAACUCUUAUGUAGAUUGUCCUGCUUAGUUAACUCUUACGUUGAUAGUUAAAAAAUAUUUACUUAGAUUGAUGGUAUUUUUCUUAAAUAUAAGUCUAAUCAUUUCUAAUAUUAAGAAUAAUGUUUCAGUAUAUGACGGAAUAUUUAUUCUUAAAACGAUGUAGAUAGAUCUAUUAAAAUGAGUUAUUAUUUAGUUUAUUAAAAUAGUGUUUAUCUUCUAUUAUAAUAUGUUUUGUUAUAUAUAAAUAGAAAUUAGAGAUCGUAAUUCUUACUUAAAAAAUAAAUGAAGAUUUAGAUUUUAGAGUAAAUAAAACAUUAGUCUUUUAAUCUUUUAUAGAAUAUUAUAUAUUAAAUAAUUAAUAAAUGUCAAUUUGGGAAAUUAAAGUUUAAAAAUUGUUUAUUUUUAAUUAUUUUUGUGGUCAAGAACAAAUAAAACCACAAACCUUUAUUUUGAAGAAUUCCUAAAGACAUCCAUAAAAUUUUAAAUAAUUUUUAAAUAUAAAUCAUCGUAAACAAAUUAUUAAUAUAAGAAGUGAAAUUUUGUAACAUUAUUUUACAACAUUUAAAUAAUGAGUAAAUGAGACUUUUAAUGUCCAAUAAAUCUUUGGAUGUGACCAAAAUAUCCACUUCUCGUAACUCACAAUAUCUUGUCACAAUAUCUUCCAUUUGGAUGGGUUCAAUAACGUUUUGUUACCCUUAUUUUAAAAAUUAUUUUUAUGGUUUCAUCAUUUUUAUAAGUUUUUUAAUAAAAAUUUGACUUAAUUAAAAUUUUAUUCUUUUUAUUUUAUUAAUUUAUAAAAUUAAUAUUUCUUUUUAAAAUUUUACGCUAUUAGUUCUUUAUUACAUAUUUUUAAUUAAAAAAAUAAUAAUGUAAUAUUCUAAAUAAUGUAGCAUAUAAUGACAUGUUUAAAAUUAUUAACACUCAUUAAAUUGUAAUAAAUUUUUUUAAAGUUUAAUUUUUAACUUUGAAUUUUUUUUAUUUUUGUAAGUUAAUUAAUGAUGUGGGAAUAAUUAAUGUAUCUUGAUGAUUUUAUAUUAUGAAAUCAUAUGUCAUAUCAUUUAAAAUAUAUUAAAUCGUCAUUUUUUAGUUUAAAAAUUAAACGAUAAAUUAAAAUUGUCGACUUUUAAAAUAAGAUAUGAGUUCUAUAAGUCAAAAGUUUUAAAAAUAAAGUUUUAAAUGAAUAAUUGAUUUAAACUAACUUAUUAUAAACUAAACAGUUAAGUAUUUCUUCUAUUUGGUACACAUUGUUUUAGAUAAUAAAAUCUCAAAAAUGAUUAUAAUGAGAAGUUAUUUUGAAAAGUUUAUCAUAAAAAUAAUCUUUUAGAUAUACCUUUUUUUUAUAAAAAAAUUACAAUUUUUUUAUAUUAAAUCCUUUAAUAAUAAAUAUAUAAAUUAUUGAAUGUUAAUUUUUUUAGACUUAAUUACAGUUUUAAUCACUCUAUUUUUAUUGGUUCACGAAAUUGAUCAUCUAUUUUAAAAGUCGACUGGUCAUCUCUAUGAUUUUUUAAUUAAAAAAUGAUGACGUGAAAUAUUUUAAAUAACGUGAUAUAUGAUAUCACGAUGUAAAAUGAUUAACAUUCAUGAAAUUAAAAUAUUUUAUAUAAUGUGAUAUAUGAUAUCACGCCGUAAAAACUUAACUUUCAACUCCAAUUUUUUUCUUAAGAUUUUUAAUUUAAUUAAUGACAUAAGUGUUGGAUUUUGAUCCUUUGAUUCCUAAUUUUGACAUAAUUAAUAAUUCAACAAUGUUCAUACAAUACAUGAUAAAUCUAAUAUUUGAAUUGAGCAAGAUUUCAGGAACAACAAUCAAAUCCUACACACUUGGAACACGUUGCUUGAAACACAAGAAAUCAACAAAAGUUGACUUUUGACUAAAGCAAAUCGAUUGGGAAAUCGAUUUCAUGACAAGGGUGUAAGGAAACACAACUGUUUGUGUUGGUAUAAUCGAUUGGGCAAUCGACUGACUAAAUUAGAAAUUGAAAAUGCACAAGUCAGUAGCAUCCCAGUUUUGAGGGUAAUCGAUUGACAAAUCGAUUAUACAAUUCACAAAGUAAAACUGAUUGAAAUAAAUCGAUUGGCAAAUCGAUUGGACAAGUCACAGUGAAACCCCAGUUUUAAGGGUAAUCGAUUGGCAAAUCGAUUACUUAAAAAUCACUUGCAAAAUAACUUUUCCUGUGACAUACAAAUCGAUUGGACAAUCUAUGUUGUAAUAUUUCAAUCAAGUUAAAUUUGGUCGAAAUCGAUUGGGAAAUCGAUUGAACCAAAUCCCAGGUAAGAACGUUUUCAGACAAAUACAUACAAAUCGAUUGGCACGUCGAUUAGUAUCAAAAUAGCUGAGUCACUGACUUAAACACAAUCGAUUGGCAAAUCGAUUGACAAAACCUUUUGAAAACCCAGUGAACUCUGAGCGUGUGACCAAAUCGAUUUUAAGUAUUUGUUAAUCGAUUAUGAAGAUUUGAUAAAUCGAUUAUGGAAUCGAUUGAUAUGUGUUUCAGUUUGAACAUAACAUCUGCAAUCGAUUACGAAAUCGAUUCAUAUCAGUCUUAACAUAAUCACUGAGAAAUGUUGUUUAAAGAAUCGAUUGGUAAAUCGAUUGGGUUAUAUAGUUUCAAGAUUCAAGAAAAACAAGACACACGAUAAUCGAUUGGCAAAUCGAUUAGACUGGUUUAUCACUUUACGAAAUCGAUUGGUAAAUCGAUUGAUUAAUGUGUUUUUCAGAAACUAUAUAAACUGUCUUCAAUCUGUCUUUCAAUAACAUGAAUGAUAAUAACAAUGAUAUCAAUCUGAAAUAUACAUUGAAUAUUCUUGAUACACAAUAACACUUGGUUAUGAGAUUACUUUUUCAGAUCAAAUUGAAAAAGAGGAUUAUCAACAAUCAAAAAGAUAGCUGCUAAACAAUCUUGAAAGACAAGGAUUCUCAAAAACAAAUCUUUGAUAUCCAGAAUUAUGAGAAGCCAUUUUGACCAAGAUUGAAGACUACUUUUUGUUCUUCCUGUAUUCUGUUUGUAAUAAUUCCUUUAAACAAAAACGAAAGCGAGAAAAGCCAGCUAGAAACUGGUGACUACUUUCUUGGGUGAGAGUGCUCAACAAGAAAGAGUUGUACUUUGAUUCUGUGAUAGGUUGCUGAGUAUCUACAAGGAUCAGAGGGUGAUCAAUAGGAAAGAGAUCAUUAAGAUAGAUAGGUUUCGGGGAGGAAACUGGACAAUCUGUAAUUGAUUCUUUCUAUUGGAGAAGAAAAUCUGAAAUCCGUUUGGAUUUGCAGGACUGGAUGUAGGUUGUCAAGUGGACAACUGAACCAGUAUAAAUCCUUGGUGCAAUCUUCUCUAACCCUUAUCUCCUUUGAUUUACUAUCUUGAUAUAUCUGUAUAUGUGAUUAAAAUUAGAUGCAUGUUAAACAUAUUCUGUAAUAAGUAAUAUUGUUUAAUCUGAUAAUUUGACUUGUAUGCAUCUUGAUUAAUCUCAUAUCAAUCUAAUAAAACUUGCUAAUCUUGUAUGCCACAAUUUAAUUUCCGCUGUGUGUAUGAAAUUGAUUUAAUUUCAUAAAGAACUGAUACAUUCUGAUAUAUUCCGCUUAUUACGAGGUCAUAUAUACCAACAAUUGGCCUCAGAGCCUAACUUUUCGAGAGGUAAUACUCAUAAAAGCACUAUGGCCUCAAACGAUUUUCUGGGAGAAGGCGCAUCGUUAGCAAGACCUCCAGCUUUCAACGGAACAGCUUAUAUGUACUGGAAGCACAGGAUGCUAAUCUUCUUGGAAGCCAGUGGCAUAGACAUCCUUGACGCUGUUGAAAACGGUCCAUAUAUUCCCAAGAUUGCAGGAACGAAUGACUCAAUGAUUCUCAAGCCUAGAGCCGACUGGUCAGAUGAUGACAAGAAAAAGGUAGGUUAUAAUGCAAAGGCUAAGAACAUUAUAACAUCUGCUCUUUGUGCAGAAGAAUUUUUUAGAGUGUCAAACUGCAAGUCAGCAAAAGAAAUGUGGGACAUUCUUCAAGAAACACAUGAAGGAACCACAGACGUGAAGAGAGCUCGCGUAAACACACUGAUGCACGAAUAUGAAUUAUUCAGCAUGAAAAGGGACGAAUCCAUCAGUGAUCUGCAAACCAGAUUCACACACAUUGUGAAUAAUCUUCAUGCAUUGGGAAAGCAAGUGGAUAACGAACAACAGAUUGGAAAAAUAAUGAGAUGUCUAACCAGAGAAUGGCAGCCAAAGAUAACAGCCAUAGCAGAAUCUAAAGAUCUAGCAAAGAUGACGACUGCAACUUUGUUUGGUAAACUAAGAGAACACGAAAUGGAAUUACAUCGACUGGACGAAUCAGAGAUGGAAAGCCGCAAAAAGAAAGGACUAUCCCUGAAGGUUCAAGCCCAGCAAUCGAAAACUGAAUCAGAUAGCUGCUCAGAUCAAUCCAGUAGUGAAUCUGAAGAGCCGGAAAUCGGGUUGCUUGUCAAGAAAUUCAAGAAGUUUCUGAAGAAGAAAGACAACAAAUUCAGAAAACCAUCUAGCUCCAAGACUACUGACAACAAGACCAUUACAUGCUAUGAAUGUGGUAAAACUGGUCACAUAAAGUCAGAAUGCUACAAAUUGCAAAACAAGAAUAGAGCUACAAAAUCAAAAGGCAAGGAACCAGUCACCAAAACCAGAAAAGCUUAUAUUGCAUGGAAUGAUAACGAUGAAUCCUCUGCAUCUUCUGAUGAAGAAGAAGUCAACUUGUGUCUCAUGGCAGAUACAAAUUCAGAAUCAGAAAAUGAGGUUAGUUCACAAUCUAAUCCAACAUAUGAUGAGCUACAAGAAGCUUUCAAUGAACUGCAUGAUGACUAUGUGAAAUCCAUAAAACAGUUGUUAAGCACAAAGAAAAUGCUUGAACAAAUGAAUGUUGAGCAUAAAGAAAUUGAAAAUUUAUGUGAACAACUGAAAAAGGAUUCACAAGAAAAAUCUGCAAAGUGCAUUGAACUUGAAAAUACUGUUGCAUCAUUAAAAUCUGAUUUAUUAAAUUUUGCAAAUAGUAAAGAUAAGCUAAAUGUCAUACUUAGCAAUCAAAGACAUGUUCAUGAAAAAUCUGGUUUAGGAUAUACACCAAAUAUGCAUGUCAAAAGAAAAAAUAAAAACAGAUCUGGUAUUGGUUAUAUGCAAACCAGAAAUGUCAAACAUGGUCAAAAAUCUUCUAUUGCUAAGAGUAUGUAUGACAUCUUUACUAAACCAAAUAAACAUUCAUCCUUUGAUGGCAGAUGUCAUUUCUGUUGCAGAAAGGGACAUUUUGUGUCUAAUUGCAAAUUUAAAAAAUUAGCCAAUCAAGGAUGGAAGCUAGUUUGGAUAGAAAAGAAAUCUGUGUUUGACACUAACCAACCAGGACCCAAUUUAAAUUGGGGACCUAAAACAAAAUUCUGAUUUUGUAUUGCAGGUGUGCUUGACAUCCACGAAACACUCAUGGUAUCUAGAUAGCGGAUGCUCAAAGCACAUGACUGGUGACAAAUCCAAAUUCCUGAACCUGACAUUAAAGGAAGGAGGCUUUGUCAAAUAUGGUGAUAACAACAGAGGAAAAAUCAUUGGAAUUGGUGAUGUAGGCGAUGAAUCAACUGCAGUAAUCAAAAAUGUGCUAUAUGUUGAAGGAUUAAAGCACAACUUACUGAGUAUAAGCCAGCUAUGUGACAAAGGUUUUCAAGUAAGUUUUUCAUCACAAUCUUGCAUUAUUGAGCAUAAAGAUGACAAACACAUAAAGCUAAUUGGGGACAGAAUCAACAACAUUUACAUGUUGGAUUUCAAUUCUGUACCUAGUGCUGUAUGCUGCUUGUUAUCCAACUCAGAUGAAACAUGGCUUUGGCAUAAAAGAAUUGCUCAUAUACACAUAAAUCAUUUGAAUAAACUUGUCAGCAAACAGUUAGUCUUAGGUCUACCAAAUAGGAAGUUCUCUAAAGAUAGACUGUGUGAUGCAUGUGAGAAAAGUAAACUGGUUAAGACUCCAUUUCCCUCUAUAGACUUGGUUAGAACAAAUAGAGUUUUACAACUAGUUCACAUGGACCUUUUCGGACCUGCCCAAGUUAAGAGUUUAGGUGGAAACCUGUAUGGAUAUGUGCUGGUUGAUGAUUAUUCUAGAUUCACAUGGACUUACUUUUUAGCUCAUAAAAGUGAUACAUUCUCUGUUUUCAAAAAGUUUGCUGCUUUAGUACAAAAUGAGAAUGAUUUGAAAAUUGUUUCAAUAAAAAGUGAUCAUGGAGGUGAAUUCCAAAAUGAUCUUUUUCAAAAUUAUUGUGAAUCAAAUGGAAUCAACCACAUCUAUUCAGCCCCUAGGACACCACAGCAGAAUGGGGUAGUGGAGAGGAAAAAUAGAUCCCUAGAAGAGUUAGCUAGGACCAUGCUUAAGGACUCCAACCUACCUAAGUACUUUUGGGCAGAUGCAAUUAGUACAGCCACCCAUGUUGUGAAUAGAGUUCUCAUUAGGCCCCUGCUUAGGAAAACACCCUAUGAGCUUUACAAGGGUAGAAAACCAAACCUGUCCUACUUUAGAAUCUUUGGUUGUAAAUGCUUUGUUUUAAACAAUGGCAAAGAACACCUAGGAAAGUUUGACCCUAAGGCAGAUGAAGGUAUCUUUCUAGGAUAUUCCCAAACUAGUAAGGCCUAUAGAAUCUACAACAAAAGAACAAAAACCAUAGAAGAGUCAGUUCAUGUAAAGUUUGAUGAAUCUUUUACAGAAAACUUGAACAAAACUCCUUCUAAGGUUAUUGAAAUUUUGGACGAUGUUGUAGAAUCUGAACCACUAGAACAACCUAUAGCUGACCCUCCAACUAGUGCAGACCCUGUAGAACCUAUAGAAACCUGUGAGUUGCCUAAGGAAUGGAAGUUCAACCGAAACCACCCUUUAGACAACAUUAUAGGCGAUAUCUCUAAAGGUGUUGCAACUAGGAGAAGCCUUAGUCAGUUUUGUAACUUUACAGCCUUUGUAUCUCAGAUUGAACCUAAGAACAUUAAGGAAGCCCUUUUAGAUAGUGAGUGGAUACUUGCUAUGCAAGAGGAGUUAAACCAGUUUGAGAGAAACAAGGUGUGGAACUUGGUACCUAGGCCAGAGGGUAAGCAUGUUAUAGGAACUAGGUGGGUGUUCAGAAAUAAGUUAGAUGAGAAUGGUGUGAUAACUAGGAAUAAAGCCAGAUUAGUUGCAAAGGGUUAUAGUCAAGAGGAGGGAAUAGACUUUGAUGAGACCUAUGCCCCAGUAGCUAGACUAGAAGCCAUAAGAAUUUUAUUGGCUUAUGCAUGUAUCAUGGACUUCAAUCUAUAUCAAAUGGAUGUGAAGAGUGCCUUUCUCAAUGGAGACCUCCAAGAGGAAGUUUUUGUGAGUCAAACACCAGGUUUUGAAAAUCCAGAUUUUCCUAACCAUGUGUAUAAACUCUCAAAGGCCCUCUAUGGGUUGAAACAAGCUCCAAGAGCUUGGUAUGAGAAACUCAGCACUUUCCUCAUUCAACAAAAUUUUUCUAGAGGAAAUGUUGAUAAGACACUCUUUACAAAAACUACUGAAAAUGACAUCUUGCUGGUCCAAAUUUAUGUUGAUGACAUAAUAUUUGGAUCAACAAAUGAUAAACUUUGCAAAGAAUUUGAAAAUUUAAUGAAAGGUAAAUUUGAAAUGUCAAUGAUGGGUGAACUGUCAUAUUUCUUGGGAUUUCAAAUUAACCAAAGCAAGCAAGGCAUUUUCAUUAGUCAAUCCAAAUAUUGUUCUGAUUUGAUAAAGAAAUUUAACUUUGAUAAACUUAAGUCCAUUGAUACACCCAUGAGUCAAGGAAAUUUCUUAGACCGAGAUGAGAAGGGUAAGCCUGUAGAUGUCACUAGAUUUCGUGGUAUGAUUGGAUCUCUGCUCUACCUUACAGCAAGCCGACCAGAUAUUAUGUUCAGUGUUUGUAUGUGUGCAAGGUAUCAAUCGAAUCCGAAGGAAUCUCACCUCAGUGCAGUAAAGAGAAUUUUCAGAUACUUGGUAGGUACUAAAAGUCUUGGUUUGUGGUAUCCAAAAGGUUCAACAUGUACUUUGGUUGGUUAUUCAGACUCAGACUUUGCUGGUUGUAAACUUGACAGAAAGAGUACUUCAGGAACAUGUCAUUUGCUUGGUAAUUCUCUAGUGUCUUGGUUCAGUAAGAAGCAAACAAGUAUUGCAUUGUCUACUGCAGAAGCUGAAUACAUAGCAGCUGGGAGCUGUUGUGCUCAAAUCUUGUGGAUGAAACAGCAUUUAAUGGACUUCGGUGUCGAUUUGGGAACAGUGCCGAUCAUGUGUGAUAACACAAGUGCUAUCAGCAUAACCAAGAACCCAGUAAUGCAUUCAAGGACAAAACACAUUGAGGUAAGGCAUCACUUCAUAAGAGACCACUUUCAGAAUGGAGUUAUCAAACUUGAGUAUGUGAACACUACAGAACAAUUAGCUGAUAUCUUCACAAAAGCAUUGCCAAAAGAAAGUUUUUUGAACAUAAGGAUGAAACUAGGGAUCAUUGAUCCUAGUGAAGUGUAAGUUUUUGAUGAUUCUGGUACUUUUCAGUAAUGUUUUCCAGUUACAUCGAUUUGGAAAUCGAUUACCAGCAUGGUAAAAGGUUUAUAAAAUCGAUUUGAGAAUCGAUUACGUUAGCCCAGGAUUCAAAAUUUCAGAAAAUUUUUUUUAACCUUCACGAGCAUCGAUUUGGAAAUCGAUUAGCUAAGUGUUCAACCUUAAGACAAUCGAUUUGGGAAUCGAUUAAGUAAAACAGGAAUUCGAUUUGAACAUCGAUUUGAAAUAUGACCGUUACUCAAAGUACCUAGCCGUUGGCACUUCAUCAUUACUGAAUCGAUUGAGGAUUCCCAGCAACGGUAACCUAAUCGAUUGGGAAAUCGAUUUACUAGGUCAAGAGUAUAAAAGGAACAGUUCUAAAUCGAUUUCUGCACUUUGUUUUCCAGAUUUUCUCAGCUUUUCUCUUGUGUUCUUCAUUCUUCUGUCUCUGCAUUUGUUUGAAUCUGCUUUCUACACUCUACCUACUUCGAAUCUACACAAAAUUGUUGAUAUGGCCCGAGUAAAACAGACUCAAGCACGCACUCCAUCUCCAUCAUCCUCUUCCACCAGUGAAACACCAUCACCACCUCCAACUUUAACAAAAAGAGUACCCAUCCCAACUCACAAAAUACUUGCAAAAGAUAAAGGAAAAGCUCCUGCCCCAAUCCAGGAAAAGCCGAA